RNAcentral lists this ribosomal RNA (852 nucleotides) under Leifsonia shinshuensis. RNAcentral describes it as "bacterial SSU rRNA". It matches the Rfam family "Bacterial small subunit ribosomal RNA", at positions 621 to 1476 of the family's 1533-position model. The record is from RNAcentral. Lineage: Bacteria; Bacillati; Actinomycetota; Actinomycetes; Micrococcales; Microbacteriaceae.
CUGCAGUGGGUACGGGCAGACUAGAGUGCGGUAGGGGAGAAUGGAAUUCCUGGUGUAGCGGUGGAAUGCGCAGAUAUCAGGAGGAACACCGAUGGCGAAGGCAGUUCUCUGGGCCGUAACUGACGCUGAGGAGCGAAAGCGUGGGGAGCGAACAGGAUUAGAUACCCUGGUAGUCCACGCCGUAAACGUUGGGCGCUAGAUGUGGGGACCAUUCCACGGUUUCCGUGUCGCAGCUAACGCAUUAAGCGCCCCGCCUGGGGAGUACGGCCGCAAGGCUAAAACUCAAAGGAAUUGACGGGGGCCCGCACAAGCGGCGGAGCAUGCGGAUUAAUUCGAUGCAACGCGAAGAACCUUACCAAGGCUUGACAUACACGAGAACGGGCCAGAAAUGGUCAACUCUUUGGACACUCGUGAACAGGUGGUGCAUGGUUGUCGUCAGCUCGUGUCGUGAGAUGUUGGGUUAAGUCCCGCAACGAGCGCAACCCUCGUUCUAUGUUGCCAGCGCGUAAUGGCGGGAACUCAUAGGAGACUGCCGGGGUCAACUCGGAGGAAGGUGGGGAUGACGUCAAAUCAUCAUGCCCCUUAUGUCUUGGGCUUCACGCAUGCUACAAUGGCCGGUACAAAGGGCUGCAAUACCGUAAGGUGGAGCGAAUCCCAAAAAGCCGGUCUCAGUUCGGAUUGAGGUCUGCAACUCGACCUCAUGAAGUCGGAGUCGCUAGUAAUCGCAGAUCAGCAACGCUGCGGUGAAUACGUUCCCGGGCCUUGUACACACCGCCCGUCAAGUCAUGAAAGUCGGUAACACCCGAAGCCGGUGGCCCAACCCUGGGAGGGAGCCUCGAGGGAUCGUGCUUU